Molecule: ribosomal RNA, 253 nt
Filed under: uncultured bacterium
Lineage: Bacteria
Description: partial 16S ribosomal RNA
Rfam family: Bacterial small subunit ribosomal RNA
Source: RNAcentral
UACGUAGGGUGCAAGCGUUGUCCGGAAUUAUUGGGCGUAAAGAGCUCGUAGGCGGUUUGUCGCGUCUGCUGUGAAAACUCGGGGCUCAACUCCGAGCUUGCAGUGGGUACGGGCAGACUAGAGUGAUGUAGGGGAGACUGGAAUUCCUGGUGUAGCGGUGAAAUGCGCAGAUAUCAGGAGGAACACCGAUGGCGAAGGCAGGUCUCUGGGCAUUAACUGACGCUGAGGAGCGAAAGCAUGGGGAGCGAACAGG